AGCCAGUGUGGCAUAGUGGUUUGAGUGUUGGACUACAACUCUGGAGGCCAGGGUUCGAAUCCCUGCUCGGCUA
This is a non-coding RNA of Phrynosoma platyrhinos (Desert horned lizard), 73 nucleotides long. NCBI's taxonomy places the organism in Eukaryota, Metazoa, Chordata, Lepidosauria, Squamata, Phrynosomatidae. The record is from the annotation of a GenBank genome assembly.